RNAcentral lists this ribosomal RNA (517 nucleotides) under uncultured Glomeraceae. RNAcentral's name for it is "bacterial SSU rRNA". It matches the Rfam family "Eukaryotic small subunit ribosomal RNA", at positions 569 to 1078 of the family's 1831-position model. Lineage: Eukaryota; Fungi; Glomeromycota; Glomeromycetes; Glomerales; Glomeraceae. The record is from RNAcentral.
AGCAGCCGCGGUAAUUCCAGCUCCAAUAGCGUAUAUUAAGGUUGUUGCAGUUAAAAAGCUCGUAGUUGAAUUUCGGGAUCAAUUAAUUGGUCGUGCCUCUGGUACGUACUGAUUUUAUUGGUUUCUCCCUUCUGACGAACCAUGAUGUCAUUAAUUUGGUGUCGUGGAGAAUCAGGACUGUUACUUUGAAAAAAAUUAGAGUGUUUAAAGACAAGCUAACGCUUGAAUACAUUAGCAUGGAAUAAUAGAAAUAGGACGUUUGUAUCCUAUUUUGUUGGUUUCUUAGGAUCGACGUAAUGAUUAAUAGGGAUAGUUGGGGGUCGAUUAGUAUUCAAUUGUCAGAGAUGAAAUUCUUGGAUUUAUUGAAGACUAACUACUGCGAAAGCAUUUUGCCAAGGAUGUUUUCAUUAAUCAAGAACGAAAGUUAGGGGGAUCGAAGACGAUCAGAUACCGUCGUAGUCUUAACCAUAAACUAUGCCGACUAGGGAUCGGAUGAUGUUAAUUUUUUAAUGACUCA